UUUCUGCACAGACUGUGAUCUCCCAUAUUGGCCUUCAGUUGGACUGAGAGAGAACGCUAUUUCCUUGGCAUCAGAGGCUCCUUUGGUACUAACUGUGCAUCACUGGUUCAUGAACGACUAGGACAUGCAAGAGGUGCAGCCCCAUCGCUACCAACAAAAUGAAGACUCCCAACCAACACAGCGCUUUUCAAUCAAGUUGUGUGUCUACUCAAGGCAGAUUGAAGAGAUUGUUUGGCUGAAAAAAUAGUUUCCCUAGUUUCAGUAGUUUGACGGAGAGAUGAGCAAGCUGGUCCUUGGAGGCUGUUCUCUGGAGUGUAACAAAUCAGAGAUAUCUUAUCACUGGUGACACUACUCAACAGCCAGAUCACAAGCCGCUGAGUGAGCCGCUGUUCAUGGUACAUCCAAAUUCUUGAUGAUGGGGUUCCAGUGCUUGUUGUUGAGGUGAUCGGACUUUGAUCUCUUGCUGCUGCCUGCUGGGUAAAAGGUGCGUAGGUCCAAUGUUGUU
Acanthaster planci (crown-of-thorns starfish) is the source of this 505-nucleotide long non-coding RNA. The record is from RefSeq and is a predicted model, not a curated record. NCBI's taxonomy places the organism in Eukaryota, Metazoa, Echinodermata, Asteroidea, Valvatida, Acanthasteridae.